CUUCUGCAGAUAUAAUUAGAUGGACUGGUGGAAACGGAAUUCCAGUGUUCAGAGACUAUAUUGUGAUGCUGCCUAAUCUAAGCCGCAAGAAGAACAACCUCUCUGUUUCUCUUCGUCCCAAGGGCAAAUCAGACCCAAUCCUGAAUGGAUUGGAGUUGUUCAAGAUCAACAAUACAGAUGGCAAUCUUUGUGGACACAACGCUAAAGCUUUCAUUGCUGCAGCUAUACCUAGACCACCAGAUAAGCUAGCUAAGAAAUCCAAGAACACGAAGACAAAAAUCGUUGUAAUUAUUGUUGGAGUUACAACUGUAGUGAUCAUAGUGUUACUGCUUGUGGGCUUCACAAUUUGCUGGCAUUGGAAAAGAGCAAGAUUCGAUGAGGAGAAUAUGAAACCUCAGCCAGAAGGAAUUUGCCGCCGGUUUGCAGCUGAAGAGAUCAGAAAUGCCACCAACAACUUUGACAGAGCUCUGGUAAUCGGUGAUGGUGGGUUUGGUAGAGUAUUCAAAGGUAACAUUGAUAGUGAAAAUACACCAGUAGCCGUCAAGGCUCUGAAGCCAACUUCAAGCCAAGGGUCUCGGGAGUUCUGGGCAGAGAUUGAAAUGCUUUCAAAGCUCCGUCAUCCGCACUUAGUGUCUCUGGUCGGAUACUGCAAUGAUGAACGGCUUAUGAUCCUCGUCUACGACUACAUGGCCCAAGGAACACUCCGUGAUCAUCUUUAUCAUACGCAUAAUCCUCCAUUGUCCUGGAAACAAAGGCUAGAGAUUUGCAUUGGUGCUGCUUAUGGCAUAAAAUACCUUCACACAGGUGCAGAGCAUAGUAUCAUCCAUCGGGAUAUCAAGAGCUCCAACAUUUUACUUGAUGAGAAGUGGGUCCCCAAGGUUUCUGAUUUUGGACUCUCCAGAUUGGGCCCUACAAGCAUGUCUCGCAGCCACGUCACCACAGAUGUGAAGGGUACAUUUGGGUAUUUAGAUCCUGAGUACUAUUUUACCAAUCAUCUGAGUGUAAAAUCUGAUGUUUUUAGUUUUGGGGUAUUGUUAUUCGAAGUAUUGUGUGCCAGACCAGCAGUGGAUAUGAGGCUAGAGGAGGAGCAACAUAGCUUGGUUCUGUGGGCCAGGACGCAUGUUAAAGAAGGAACCCUUGAUCAGAUUAUUGAUCCCAGUCUGACAGGUAAAAUUGCGCCAGAGAGUUUGAAGGUGUACGCAACAAUUGCAGCCAAGUGCUUGCGAGAGCACAGAAAUGAAAGGCCUACAAUGUCAAAGGUGUUGAGGAAACUUGAGCUUGCAUUGAG
This 1288-nucleotide unclassified non-coding RNA is filed under the name Hevea brasiliensis (rubber tree). The record is from RNAcentral. Lineage: Eukaryota; Viridiplantae; Streptophyta; Magnoliopsida; Malpighiales; Euphorbiaceae.